ACAGUGGUGGUUUGGUGGUAGAAUUCUCGCCUUCCACGUGGGAGACCUGAGUUUGGAUUCCCAGCCAAUGCA
Molecule: transfer RNA, 72 nt
Filed under: Loxodonta africana (African savanna elephant)
Lineage: Eukaryota; Metazoa; Chordata; Mammalia; Proboscidea; Elephantidae
Rfam family: tRNA
About the family: Transfer RNA (tRNA) molecules are approximately 80 nucleotides in length. Their secondary structure includes four short double-helical elements and three loops (D, anti-codon, and T loops). Further hydrogen bonds mediate the characteristic L-shaped molecular structure. tRNAs have two regions of fundamental functional importance: the anti-codon, which is responsible for specific mRNA codon recognition, and the 3' end, to which the tRNAs corresponding amino acid is attached (by aminoacyl-tRNA synthetases). tRNAs cope with the degeneracy of the genetic code in two manners: having more than one tRNA (with a specific anti-codon) for a particular amino acid; and 'wobble' base-pairing, i.e. permitting non-standard base-pairing at the 3rd anti-codon position.
Source: Rfam by way of RNAcentral